RNAcentral lists this long non-coding RNA (284 nucleotides) under Callithrix jacchus (white-tufted-ear marmoset). RNAcentral describes it as "lncRNA (ENSCJAG00000082277.1)". The record is from RNAcentral. Lineage: Eukaryota; Metazoa; Chordata; Mammalia; Primates; Cebidae.
GUUGCAGCAAGAUGUGACCAUGUGACUUUUCCGGCUACAGGAUCUGAACACAAUGUGUGUAACUAAGAUUAUUCUCUUAAAGGGAAAGGAUAUGCUCUCCCUUAUACAUUUUUCCUUUUUCAGUGGACUGCAGCUAUGGGAAAAACCAUCCUGAACCACACAGACAGGUUACAUCUCGUUAAGGACCACAAGUCUCUGCUGCUGGAGAUGACCCACCUCGAGAAUCAGAUUGGGUGACCUGUAUAUCUUUAGGCCAAGGUUAGUAAAGGACUAGAGAAUCCCAG